UACGUAGGGUGCGAGCGUUACUCGGAAUUAUUGGGCGUAAAGCGCGCGCAGGCGGUCCUUUAAGUCUGAUGUGAAAGCCCACGGCUCAACCGUGGAGGGUCAUUGGAAACUGGGGGACUUGAGUACAGAAGAGGAAAGUGGAAUUCCACGUGUAGCGGUGAAAUGCGUAGAGAUGUGGAGGAACACCAGUGGCGAAGGCGACUUUCUGGUCUGUAACUGACGCUGAGGCGCGAAAGCGUGGGGAGCAAACAGG
Molecule: ribosomal RNA, 253 nt
Filed under: uncultured bacterium
Lineage: Bacteria
Description: partial 16S ribosomal RNA
Rfam family: Bacterial small subunit ribosomal RNA
Source: RNAcentral